This is a long non-coding RNA of Lampris incognitus (smalleye Pacific opah), 222 nucleotides long. RefSeq lists it as uncharacterized. The transcript has 3 exons. NCBI's taxonomy places the organism in Eukaryota, Metazoa, Chordata, Actinopteri, Lampriformes, Lampridae. The record is from RefSeq and is a predicted model, not a curated record.
UUAUGUCCCAACGACAGAGUUCCAGAGAGUCAGCUUCGUGUUGGAUGUGCUGAUGCCUGAGGCCAUUGUCCACGCUCUUGUGGCAGUGGACAACCUCUCUGUAGCUGCGGCAAAGAGAAGAUUUAACGCGGGACCAUUGUAUGAUGAAAGGUAUUCUUUAGUGAAGUGCAAGAAUUUAAUGACAUUAUCAAGAUGCAGAAGAGGCAGUAGAUUGAGGCCGAG